AACGAACGCUGGCGGCAUGCCUAACGCAUGCAAGUCGAACGAGACCUUCGGGUCUAGUGGCGCACGGGUGCGUAACGCGUGGGAACCUGCCCUUAGGUUCGGAAUAACUCCCCGAAAGGGGUGCUAAUACCGGAUAAUGUCUUCGGACCAAAGAUUUAUCGCCUUUGGAUGGGCCCGCGUUGGAUUAGCUAGUUGGUAGGGUAAAAGCCUACCAAGGCGACGAUCCAUAGCUGGUCUGAGAGGAUGAUCAGCCGCACUGGGACUGAGACACGGCCCAGACUCCUACGGGAGGCAGCAGUGGGGAAUAUUGGACAAUGGGCGAAAGCCUGAUCCAGCAAUGCCGCGUGAGUGAUGAAGGCCUUAGGGUUGUAAAGCUCUUUUACCCGAGAUGAUAAUGACAGUACCGGGAGAAUAAGCGCCGGCUAACUCCGUG
Molecule: ribosomal RNA, 433 nt
Filed under: uncultured bacterium
Lineage: Bacteria
Description: partial 16S ribosomal RNA
Rfam family: Bacterial small subunit ribosomal RNA
Source: RNAcentral